RNAcentral lists this long non-coding RNA (801 nucleotides) under Rattus norvegicus (Norway rat). RNAcentral describes it as "long non-coding RNA NONRATT007843". The stretch from base 721 to 789 matches the Rfam family "tRNA". The record is from RNAcentral. Lineage: Eukaryota; Metazoa; Chordata; Mammalia; Rodentia; Muridae.
GUCGGGGAGCAUGCCUGUGGUGGCCAGAAGAGCGCACUGGAUGGCCUGAACAGGAGACAGGCUGCCGUGAGCCACUCUGUCAGGUGCUGUGGACAGAAGUAGAUCCAUACACAUUCUUAACCAAACUCUCUCCAGCCCCCAAUCUUUAAUAGUUUAAUAAGCGUUUAGGCACGUCAGCAUAGCAGGUAAGACUUGAGACAAGAGGACAACUUUGGUUACUGGUGGCAACACAGGAAGCAGACUUGGGGUCUUCUGUCACGACAGAAGAUUUUAAGGUCUCUAAGCGAGUCCUGCAUGAGGGUGCACACCUGUAACCCCAACACUUGAGAGGUGAUGACAGUCAGGAGUUCAUGUUCGCUCCUAGCUACAUCACUAGUUAGAGGCCAGCUAGGGCUACAGAUCUUGUCUCAGAAAGCCAGUCUCUCUCUUUCCUUUAGGUCACCACACCACCCACAUUGAGAAAAAAAAAAAGACUGAAAUUACGGGGCCAUGUUAGCCACAGCUAUAGCCCCAUUGGUAAGCAGUGGAGGUGCCCUAGGGGAAGAGAGAUGCUUAGUGGCAUGCUUUACCACAGGAUUAACCUUGGAGGAGCCAAGGCGAUUAAGGGUGCUGGAGAGCAUGUUUCCUAGUGACUCGAAGCCACACAGAAGGUUCAUUAAAGUUAACAUUCUUUUUAAAGUAAAUAAAUCUUUUUUAAAAAAGUAUUCUUUUACUGGGGUUGGGGAUUUAGCUCAGCGGUAGAGCGCUUGCCUAGGAAGCGCAAGGCCCUGGGUUCGGUCCCCAGCUCCGAAAAAAAGAACC